RNAcentral lists this ribosomal RNA (253 nucleotides) under uncultured bacterium. Its description in RNAcentral is "partial 16S ribosomal RNA". It matches the Rfam family "Bacterial small subunit ribosomal RNA", at positions 524 to 776 of the family's 1533-position model. The record is from RNAcentral.
UACGUAGGGUGCGAGCGUUGUCCGGAAUUAUUGGGCGUAAAGAGCUUGUAGGCGGUUUGUCGCGUCUGCUGUGAAAUCUCAAGGCUCAACCUUGAGCUUGCAGUGGGUACGGGCAGACUAGAGUGUGGUAGGGGAGACUGGAAUUCCUGGUGUAGCGGUGAAAUGCGCAGAUAUCAGGAAGAACACCCGUGGCGAAAGCGGCUCUCUGGAACGGUACUGACGCUGAGACGCGAAAGCGUGGGGAGCGAACAGG